This 233-nucleotide unclassified non-coding RNA is filed under the name Glomus sp. RNAcentral describes it as "partial contains 5.8S ribosomal RNA and internal transcribed spacer 2". The stretch from base 1 to 65 matches the Rfam family "5.8S ribosomal RNA", at positions 84 to 154 of the family's 154-position model. Lineage: Eukaryota; Fungi; Glomeromycota; Glomeromycetes; Glomerales; Glomeraceae. The record is from RNAcentral.
GUGAAUCAUCAAAUCUUUGAACGCAAAUUGCACUCUCUUCGGAGAGUAUGCCUGUUUGAGGGUCAGCCUAAAUAAAAUCGAUGUAGUCGCUGUUUCGUGGUGACAUUCGUUGGAAUUUGGGCCAUUUUAAACCUUUGUGUUUUUUAAGCGGCUUAAAAUUUUUUUUACGAUUCCAGGAACGUUUCUAUGAUUUUAAUUCUUACUUAUGUUUAUGGCAAUGAUUUUUAUUAGCC